AGUGAACGCUGGCGGUAGGCCUAACACAUGCAAGUCGAACGGCAGCACAGUAAGAGCUUGCUCUUACGGGUGGCGAGUGGCGGACGGGUGAGGAAUACAUCGGAAUCUACUUUUUCGUGGGGGAUAACGUAGGGAAACUUACGCUAAUACCGCAUACGACCUACGGGUGAAAGCAGGGGAUCUUCGGACCUUGCGCGAUUGAAUGAGCCGAUGUCGGCUUAGCUAGUUGGCGGGGUAAAGGCCCACCAAGGCGACGAUCCGUAGCUGGUCUGAGAGGAUGAUCAGCCACACUGGAACUGAGACACGGUCCAGACUCCUACGGGAGGCAGCAGUGGGGAAUAUUGGACAAUGGGCGCAAGCCUGAUCCAGCCAUACCGCGUGGGUGAAGAAGGCCUUCGGGUUGUAAAGCCCUGUUGUUGGGAAAGAAAAGCAGCAGGUUAAUACCCCGCUGUUCUGACGGUACCCAAAGAAUAAGCACCGGCUAACUUCGUG
This 492-nucleotide ribosomal RNA is filed under the name uncultured bacterium. RNAcentral describes it as "partial 16S ribosomal RNA". It matches the Rfam family "Bacterial small subunit ribosomal RNA", at positions 29 to 507 of the family's 1533-position model. The record is from RNAcentral.